GACGAACGCUGGCGGCGUGCCUAAUACAUGCAAGUAGAACGCACAGGAUGCACCGUAGUUUACUACACCGUAUUCUGUGAGUUGCGAACGGGUGAGUAACGCGUAGGUAACCUGCCUGGUAGCGGGGGAUAACUAUUGGAAACGAUAGCUAAUACCGCAUAAGAACAUUUACUGCAUGGUAGAUGUUUAAAAGGUGCAAAUGCAUCACUACCAGAUGGACCUGCGUUGUAUUAGCUAGUAGGUGAGGUAACGGCUCACCUAGGCGACGAUACAUAGCCGACCUGAGAGGGUGAUCGGCCACACUGGGACUGAGACACGGCCCAGACUCCUACGGGAGGCAGCAGUAGGGAAUCUUCGGCAAUGGGGGGAACCCUGACCGAGCAACGCCGCGUGAGUGAAGAAGGUUUUCGGAUCGUAAAGCUCUGUUGUUAAGGGAGAACGA
RNAcentral lists this ribosomal RNA (442 nucleotides) under Streptococcus intermedius. RNAcentral describes it as "bacterial SSU rRNA". It matches the Rfam family "Bacterial small subunit ribosomal RNA", at positions 28 to 452 of the family's 1533-position model. The record is from RNAcentral. Lineage: Bacteria; Bacillati; Bacillota; Bacilli; Lactobacillales; Streptococcaceae.